ACAGCUGGAAGAAAUUAAAAGUAAUUGUUGAAGGAGGUGAAACAGCUUCAGGAACAAACACAAAGUAAUUAUUAUAUUUUAGGGAAAAUGUUUUAACCGGCAGCAGUUUUCUGAUGUUGCAGUUUGAGAUGAAGAGGAGCUGCUCCUGAGACACCACCAUCAUCAUCAUCAUCAUCAUCAUCAUCAUCAUCAAGUCCUCCACAGUAAAACAACACAUCUCUAUGAUCUGAUCUCAUGACAUCAGUGCUGAGCUGAACGCAGAUGAAAGGAGGGCAUCACCUGCUGCUGCGGUCUCUUCGGGGGUCUGGUACA
This is a long non-coding RNA of Thunnus maccoyii (southern bluefin tuna), 312 nucleotides long. RefSeq lists it as uncharacterized. The transcript is spliced from 3 exons. Lineage: Eukaryota; Metazoa; Chordata; Actinopteri; Scombriformes; Scombridae. The record is from RefSeq and is a predicted model, not a curated record.